This 477-nucleotide ribosomal RNA is filed under the name uncultured bacterium. RNAcentral's name for it is "SSU rRNA". It matches the Rfam family "Bacterial small subunit ribosomal RNA", at positions 26 to 518 of the family's 1533-position model. The record is from RNAcentral.
AGAUUGAACGCUGGCGGCGUGCCUAACACAUGCAAGUCGAGCGGUAACAGGUGUAGCAAUACAUGCUGACGAGCGGCGAACGGGUGAGUAAUGCUUUGGAAUCUUCCCAGUAGUGGGGAAUAACCAGUCGAAAGAUUGGCUAAUACCGCAUACGUCUGUAAAGGGAAAGCGGGGGCUCGUAAGACCUCGCGCUAUUGGAUGAGCCAAAGUCGGAUUAGCUAGUUGGUGGGGUAAUGGCCUACCAAGGCGACAAUCCGUAGCUGGUCUGAGAGGACGACCAGCCACACCGGAACUGAGACACGGUCCGGACUCCUACGGGAGGCAGCAGUGGGGAAUAUUGCGCAAUGGGCGAAAGCCUGACGCAGCGACGCCGCGUGAGGGAUGAAGGCCUUCGGGUUGUAAACCUCUUUCAGCAGGGACGAAGCGAAGUGACGGUACCUGCAGAAGAAGCCCGGCUAACUACGUGCCAGCAGCCGC